GAUGAACGCUGGCGGCGUGCCUAAUACAUGCGAGUCGAGCGAACAGACGAGGAGCUUGCUCCUCUGACGUUGCCGACGGACGGGUAAGUAACAGGUGGUUAACCUACCUAUAAGACUGGGAUCACUUCGGGAAACCGUAGCUACUACUGGGUAAUAUAUUUAACCGCAUGGUUCAAUAGUUAUAUCGGGUUUUGCUGUCACUGAGAGAUGUAUGCUCGCCGCAUUGGCUAGUGGGUAAGGUAACGGCUUACCAAGGCAACGCUUGGUAGACGACCUACGAGGGUGAUCGCCCACCCUGGAGGUGGGACAGGGUCCAGACUCCUGCGGGAGGGAGCAGUAGGGAAUCUUACGCAAUGGGCGAAAGCAUGACGGAGCAACGCCGAGUGAGUGAUGACGGCCUUCGGAUCGUAAAAAUCUGUUAUUAGGGAAGAACAAAUGUGUAAGUAACCAUGCACGUCUUGACGGUACCUAAUUAGAAAGCCCCGGCUAACUACGUG
RNAcentral lists this ribosomal RNA (497 nucleotides) under uncultured bacterium. Its description in RNAcentral is "partial 16S ribosomal RNA". It matches the Rfam family "Bacterial small subunit ribosomal RNA", at positions 28 to 507 of the family's 1533-position model. The record is from RNAcentral.